GCCUUCAUAGCUCAGUUGGUAAUGCUUCUGUAGCACAGCCACUCCCUGGUGGAGUGGUCAAGGGUUCUACUCCCUGUGAAGGCA
This is a non-coding RNA of Mycena haematopus, 84 nucleotides long. The record is from the annotation of a GenBank genome assembly. Lineage: Eukaryota; Fungi; Basidiomycota; Agaricomycetes; Agaricales; Mycenaceae.